RNAcentral lists this ribosomal RNA (406 nucleotides) under uncultured bacterium. RNAcentral's name for it is "partial 16S ribosomal RNA". It matches the Rfam family "Bacterial small subunit ribosomal RNA", at positions 28 to 526 of the family's 1533-position model. The record is from RNAcentral.
GAUGAACGCUAGCUACAGGCUUAACACAUGCAAGUCGAGGGACCGGCGCAAGGGUGAGUAACACGUAUCCAACCUGCCCUUUACACUGGGCUAGCCUUUCGAAAGAAAGAUUAAUACCCGAUGUACAGGAUCGGGAUGCUUUCGAUUAGGUUGUUGGUGAGGUAACGGCACACCAAGCCUUCGAUGUUUAGGGGUUCGGAGAGGAAGGUCCACCACAUUUGAACUGAGACACGGUCCAAACUCCUACGGGAGGCAGCGGUGAGGAAUAUUGGUCAAUGGGCGUUAGCCUGAACCAGCCAAGUAGCGUGAAGGAUGAAGGCUUAUGGGUCAUAAACUUCUUGUAUAUAAGAAUAUGUAUUAUAUGAAUAAGGAUCGGCUAACUCCGUGCCAGCCGCCGCGGUAAUUC